Regulatory RNA element from Corynebacterium sp., 74 nucleotides. It matches the Rfam family "6C RNA". The record is from Rfam. Lineage: Bacteria; Bacillati; Actinomycetota; Actinomycetes; Mycobacteriales; Corynebacteriaceae.
UGCCCCGGUCCGCCCCCCGAGACCGGGUUACUUGACGGCCCGCGCACACCCCCCCGAGGCGCGGGCCGUCCCUU